Molecule: long non-coding RNA, 231 nt
Filed under: Capsicum annuum
Lineage: Eukaryota; Viridiplantae; Streptophyta; Magnoliopsida; Solanales; Solanaceae
Description: long non-coding RNA (CANN_LNC018157)
Source: RNAcentral
UUUAUUCAAAUGGAGCAGGACAACAACCUAGUCUCUUUUCUUGUUUAUGCGACUACGAAUCCUACUCCUCUUAACCUACCCCAGUCUUGGCUGGAGGUUGCAUUGAUGGGGAAAACACUAAUAUUUACUAUGCAAGUGAAUAGACGAGACUACCUAGUUAUGAUACAAAAUUCUCGGGACCUAGCCCAUAUCAUCACAGAGGGGAUGACACUUGGAAUGGAAGUGUUUAAC